This is a long non-coding RNA of Pseudopipra pipra, 644 nucleotides long. RefSeq lists it as uncharacterized. The transcript has 2 exons. The record is from RefSeq and is a predicted model, not a curated record. NCBI's taxonomy places the organism in Eukaryota, Metazoa, Chordata, Aves, Passeriformes, Pipridae.
CCAAGGGUGGAGCAGGGAUCACUGCAGGGAGCAAUCCUGAGGCUCCUCCAAGGAUGUCGCUGCUGACCUGCGAGGGACGUGAGGAGGGACAGCUCCGCUCCUCGCCGCUCUUCGCCGCCGCUCCGCCUCCCCCCGCGCCAAACCCUCUGCAAAGGGAGGCUCGUCCUCUGGGGAACCGCGGGGCUCAACACCAGGGCAGCAGCAGCAGCAAAGGGAGUCUGCCAACUGCUGGCACGGGGGGGGAGGGGGGCAUUGCAGGCCACAGGGGGAAGAAACCCCACACUUGCUCUAAUCUAACACACCUCAAAAGAGACCUGGCAGCAUUUAGGGACUUUCAAACCCAGAAGAGGAUUUCGAAGGAGUAGCAUCUUCCCUGGCAGGGCCUGCACAGUACCAGGGCUGUGCCCACCCCUGCCCCUGAUGGGAUCAGCCAUCUCCAGCAGGGCCCAGCAAAUAGAACUCACAAAGACCACGAGAGCAAAGAAAAAGGCAAUUGAGUUAUCUGAUGGUUAAUAGCCUUCCUUCACUCUGCCUUGUCUUUACCUCUGAUUUUUAAAGAGUGUUUUAAAUUCAGUUAACUACACAGAACUGUCAGACAAAGCCAACUCCUUAACCCAAGGGAAAUAAAUCACGUGGCACCAGAA